UGAGGUUUAUGAUUCUUUGACCUCGUAUGAUAAGAUGAAACAUCUUGUGGUUAAACCCGAUUCUCAGGGAGAGGGUCUCAUUGUUUGUAGAAGAUAAGAUCGGAAUGCUGAUGAUGAUCGUAGAAGGACAUAGAAACAGAAUCCUCGCGAUAAAUCUAAAGGUAGAUCGAAGUCUUCAAAUAGAGGUAAAACUUGUAACUUCUGCAAGAAGAUAGGACACAUUAAAUUUGAGUGCUAUAAGCUACAGAAC
RNAcentral lists this long non-coding RNA (250 nucleotides) under Gossypium barbadense (sea-island cotton). RNAcentral describes it as "long non-coding RNA (GBAR_LNC012726)". The record is from RNAcentral. Lineage: Eukaryota; Viridiplantae; Streptophyta; Magnoliopsida; Malvales; Malvaceae.